RNAcentral lists this ribosomal RNA (292 nucleotides) under uncultured bacterium. Its description in RNAcentral is "partial 16S ribosomal RNA". It matches the Rfam family "Bacterial small subunit ribosomal RNA", at positions 505 to 796 of the family's 1533-position model. The record is from RNAcentral.
GUGUCAGCAGCCGCGGUAAGACGAAGGAUGCAAGCGUUAUCCGGAUUCAUUGGGUUUAAAGGGAGCGUAGGUGGUCUUAUAAGUCAGUGGUGAAAUCUCUCAGCUUAACUGAGAAAUUGCCAUUGAUACUGUAGGACUUGAGUAUAGUUGCCGUUGGCGGAAUAUGACAUGUAGUGGUGAAAUACAUAGAGAUGUCAUAGAACACCGAUUGCGAAGGCAGCUGACGAAACUAUAACUGACACUGAGGCUCGAAAGUGCGGGGAUCAAACAGGAUUAGAUACCCUUGUAGUCC